CCUGGUCGUAAAAUUGGAGUCAUGCUAAGACCUUCAUUAUUUGCCAACAACUCAUGACAACUGCUAUAGUAGUUCCUGCACCAUUCUACCCCUUGAGCGGGUCUGAAACAGUCCCACAGGGCACAUUUUGGAGCUAAGAAAGCAGAUGGUGGAGGGCAGAUAUUUGGAAGAAUGUUAGGUGAUUUGCCAGAACCUUCCAAUACUGCCGCAGGAUUAGAGAACCUGGUCGAAGUUUCAUCUGGU
This 243-nucleotide small RNA is filed under the name Vigna angularis var. angularis. Its description in RNAcentral is "Non-protein coding transcript". The record is from RNAcentral. Lineage: Eukaryota; Viridiplantae; Streptophyta; Magnoliopsida; Fabales; Fabaceae.